CGGCUUUUAGGGGUGGCUGGUUUUUUUCUUUGCUUGGCUCUACUGAAUGCAACUGCUCGAUUCCAAUACAUGUCCCAAUUCAUUAGAUAAAGUCUGUUGGUUCUCUUUCUGUAUUUGGCUACCUAGUACUUCAGAAAGGACAAGAAUUGUGAAAACAAAAGGCUAACAUGUGAUCCUGUUCUUUUGAUGUGGACUGUAGCUGCACUUGUAUCUCACUAUUUGAGGUUCACAAGGAUUGACCUUUGAGUAUGUGUCCAGUUAGUUCCCUUGGUUUCUUGCACAGAGAAGAACAGUUGUUGUAAACUUCUGCACUUUUGC
Molecule: long non-coding RNA, 318 nt
Organism: Grus americana (Whooping crane)
Lineage: Eukaryota; Metazoa; Chordata; Aves; Gruiformes; Gruidae
Exons: 3
Source: RefSeq, a predicted model, not a curated record